RNAcentral lists this ribosomal RNA (253 nucleotides) under uncultured bacterium. RNAcentral describes it as "partial 16S ribosomal RNA". It matches the Rfam family "Bacterial small subunit ribosomal RNA", at positions 524 to 776 of the family's 1533-position model. The record is from RNAcentral.
UACGUAGGGUGCAAGCGUUAAUCGGAAUUACUGGGCGUAAAGCGUGCGCAGGCGGUUAUGUAAGACAGUUGUGAAAUCCCCGGGCUCAACCUGGGAACUGCAUCUGUGACUGCAUAGCUAGAGUACGGUAGAGGGGGAUGGAAUUCCGCGUGUAGCAGUGAAAUGCGUAGAUAUGCGGAGGAACACCGAUGGCGAAGGCAAUCCCCUGGACCUGUACUGACGCUCAUGCACGAAAGCGUGGGGAGCGAACAGG